RNAcentral lists this ribosomal RNA (449 nucleotides) under uncultured bacterium. Its description in RNAcentral is "partial 16S ribosomal RNA". It matches the Rfam family "Bacterial small subunit ribosomal RNA", at positions 29 to 523 of the family's 1533-position model. The record is from RNAcentral.
AAUGAACGCUGGCGGCAGGCCUAACACAUGCAAGUCGAACGGAUCCUUCGGGAUUAGUGGCGGACGGGUGAGUAACGCGUGGGAACAUACCCUUUGGUACGGAAUAGCCUCGGGAAACUGGGAGUAAUACCGUAUGUGGUCGAGAGACGAAAGAUUUAUCGCCAAAGGAUUGGCCCGCGUUGGAUUAGGUAGUUGGUGGGGUAAUGGCCUACCAAGCCGACGAUCCAUAGCUGGUUUGGGAGGAUGAUCAACCACACUGGGACUGAGACACGGCCCCGACUCCUACGGGAGGCAGCAGUGGGGAAUCUUAUACAAUGGGGGAAGCCCUGAUCUAGCCCUGCCGCGUGAUCGAUGAAGGCCUUAGGGUUGUAAAGAUCUUUCAGGUGGGAAGAUAAUGACUGUACCACCAGAAGAAGCCCCGGCUAACUCCGUGCCAGCAGCCGCGGUAA